CGAUCCAACCAACCCUCAAAGAUUCGCACCGCGCGGCACGCACCCAGCAGGUUCCAGCGUAAAAGCUGCUCCGGUCCCAAGCGCGUCUCCAAACCCCUCCUUUACAGCGCCGCCUCCCCAGCCAGCCCCGGUGCGCAGUGGCGAACAGCCCGCAGAGCCCCCAGGCUUACCUGUAGCAUGUGGUGAGCUCGCCUGAAGACUUCAGACACGGGUCCACGUGUGUCCCAACGCCAGGAGCAGCAGCAGCGGACCCAGGCUCCUGCCCAGCUGGCCCCUGGCAGCUCCUCCCCGGCUCGGAGGCGGCGGCACCAUCAGGGAAGCUCCCGGCUUCUUCCCAGCGCCGAGCUCCGUCCGGACCAAGCGUCCUGCUCCUCCGCGGCCG
Molecule: long non-coding RNA, 382 nt
Filed under: Homo sapiens (human)
Lineage: Eukaryota; Metazoa; Chordata; Mammalia; Primates; Hominidae
Description: long non-coding RNA NONHSAT059568.2
Source: RNAcentral